GCUUCGAUAGCUCAGUGGCAGAGAAGUGAGACGGUACCCCACCGGCCCGGUGUUUGAUUCCCGGUCAAAGCU
This is a non-coding RNA of Phthorimaea operculella (potato tuberworm), 72 nucleotides long. The record is from the annotation of a GenBank genome assembly. Lineage: Eukaryota; Metazoa; Arthropoda; Insecta; Lepidoptera; Gelechiidae.